UUCAUUCUAGACUUCACUAAUGAUCGGACAGUUCCAGUGUUUGUCUGUGUAUUCAUUUUAUUGAACAUGUAUAACAAAUUAUAAAGACAACGUGAACUUAAACUAUGAAGGGAUCUUUUCCAGUCAACCUGUAUGGUGGCAGAAAAUACUCCUAAAUUUGACCAAGAAGACCCGUUUAAAAGAAAUGGUUUUUAUAAUUAUUACUUUCCUUGGACGAGAAGAAACGUAAAGAUAACAAAUAAAGGGAAACUCAUUAAAAUGCGCCCUUAAAUUAUACUACUUGAGAGCAAAGACAGCAGAGGAUCACAUUUGUAAAUGCGAUGUUCAGCCAGCAACUUCGUGUUAUUCGAGUUAAUUUUAAAAAGUUACCACACAGCUGUCGAAAAUUUCCCGACGCAAGUAUCUUAUGCGAUGUCGUCUAUUAUUCACGUCGUCUAGAAGAGCACAAACUAGUAAACUAGAUAAGUUUUAAAAGGACUAAGUUAGAUGAAUCUUGACUGCAUAAUGACACAGAUUAAAAGUUGUUGAUUGUGAAAUUCAAAGAGUUUUUUGAUGGCGGAUGUCGGGGUAUUAAUGUAAGCCUGGCUGAUGGGCAUUAUGGUUUUAAUCGUUGCACGACUGCGCAUUUAUAUAGUCUGUGGAGUACAUCAAAGAGGUACGCAAUCUACACAUAACGUCACAGCUUUAGUAUACAAAAUGAGCAAAUACAAGACCAGAGAGAGUUCAGCUGUAGGGUAACCAAAUUUGAGUGUUCCAGUUCUUGCUUUCUCUAACUGUCCUUCAAUAGAGUAAAUUGCGCCCUAACAGAGUCCCAUCACGUCGUAGACAUAGCCAACUCAUUGGGCGCUGAAAGGGCAUCUCGGUGACAUUGUAACUGGCUGGUGUGAACUUCAGCACUGUUCAAUAUGUAAUUAAAAAAAAAAUAGAAAGUUGAGAAUAUAAUGAAAACCAAUAAUGAAAUGUCAUAUUAUGACUUGACAUUUUCUUAAUUUCAAAUAGUGAUGCAGACUGACAGAUAAAAAAAGGUUUACAAAAGUGUUUUGGCUUGUAAUAGAGUCCUCCACUAAAGUUCUCACAAUUAUUUUCUUUAAUAUCUCAUAU
This is a long non-coding RNA of Plodia interpunctella (Indianmeal moth), 1101 nucleotides long. RefSeq lists it as uncharacterized. The record is from RefSeq and is a predicted model, not a curated record. The transcript is spliced from 4 exons. Lineage: Eukaryota; Metazoa; Arthropoda; Insecta; Lepidoptera; Pyralidae.